GCGGUAAUUCCAGCUCCAAUAGCGUAUAUUUAAGUUGNNNNNNUUAAAAAGCUCGUAGUUGGAUUUCGGGUGGGUUCUAGCGGUCCGCCUAUGGUGAGUACUGCUAUGGCCCUCCUUUCUGCCGGGGACGAGUUGCUGGGCUUCACUGUCCGGUGCUUGGAGUCGGCGUUGUUACUUUGAGUAAAUUAGAGUGUUCAAAGCAGGCAUACGCCCUGAAUACUUUAGCAUGGAAUAACACGAUAGGACUCUGGCCUAUCUUGUUGGUCUGUAGGACCGGAGUAAUGAUUAAGAGGGACAGUCGGGGGCAUUCGUAUUUCAUUGUCAGAGGUGAAAUUCUUGGAUUUAUGAAAGACGAACUACUGCGAAAGCAUUUGCCAAGGAUGUUUUCAUUAAUCAAGAACGAAAGUUGGGGGCUCGAAGACGAUUAGAUACCGUCGUAGUCUCAACCAUAAACGAUGCCGACUAGGGAUUGGCGGAUGUUUUUUUGAUGACUCCGCCAGCACCUUAUGAGAAAUCAAAGUUUUUGGGUUCCGGGGGGAGUAUGGUCGCAAGGCUGAAACUUAAAGGAAUUGACGGAAGGGCUACUGCCGAG
This 592-nucleotide ribosomal RNA is filed under the name Pediastrum duplex. RNAcentral describes it as "SSU rRNA". It matches the Rfam family "Eukaryotic small subunit ribosomal RNA", at positions 576 to 1175 of the family's 1831-position model. The record is from RNAcentral. Lineage: Eukaryota; Viridiplantae; Chlorophyta; Chlorophyceae; Sphaeropleales; Hydrodictyaceae.